RNAcentral lists this ribosomal RNA (465 nucleotides) under uncultured Klebsiella sp. RNAcentral describes it as "bacterial SSU rRNA". It matches the Rfam family "Bacterial small subunit ribosomal RNA", at positions 338 to 795 of the family's 1533-position model. The record is from RNAcentral. Lineage: Bacteria; Pseudomonadati; Pseudomonadota; Gammaproteobacteria; Enterobacterales; Enterobacteriaceae.
CCUACGGGUGGCAGCAGUGGGGAAUAUUGCACAAUGGGCGCAAGCCUGAUGCAGCCAUGCCGCGUGUGUGAAGAAGGCCUUCGGGUUGUAAAGCACUUUCAGCGGGGAGGAAGGCGGUGAGGUUAAUAACCUCAUCGAUUGACGUUACCCGCAGAAGAAGCACCGGCUAACUCCGUGCCAGCAGCCGCGGUAAUACGGAGGGUGCAAGCGUUAAUCGGAAUUACUGGGCGUAAAGCGCACGCAGGCGGUCUGUCAAGUCGGAUGUGAAAUCCCCGGGCUCAACCUGGGAACUGCAUUCGAAACUGGCAGGCUAGAGUCUUGUAGAGGGGGGUAGAAUUCCAGGUGGAGCGGUGAAAUGCGUAGAGAUCUGGAGGAAUACCGGUGGCGAAGGCGGCCCCCUGGACAAAGACUGACGCUCAGGUGCGAAAGCGUGGGGAGCAAACAGGAUUAGAUACCCCGGUAGUC